CACGUAGGGACCAAGCGUUGUCCGGAUUCAUUGGGCGUAAAGAGCUCGUAGGCGGUUCGAUAAGUCGGGUGUGAAACCUCCAGGCUCAACCUGGAGACGCCACCCGAUACUGUCGUGACUAGAGUCCAGUAGGGGAGCGUGGAAUUCCUGGUGUAGCGGUGAAAUGCGCAGAUAUCAGGAGGAACACCAGCGACGAAGGCGGCGCUCUGGGCUGGAACUGACGCUGAGGAGCGAAAGCGUGGGGAGCGAACAGG
This 254-nucleotide ribosomal RNA is filed under the name uncultured bacterium. RNAcentral's name for it is "partial 16S ribosomal RNA". It matches the Rfam family "Bacterial small subunit ribosomal RNA", at positions 524 to 776 of the family's 1533-position model. The record is from RNAcentral.